RNAcentral lists this ribosomal RNA (333 nucleotides) under uncultured Anaerolineaceae bacterium. RNAcentral's name for it is "bacterial SSU rRNA". It matches the Rfam family "Bacterial small subunit ribosomal RNA", at positions 1041 to 1382 of the family's 1533-position model. Lineage: Bacteria; Bacillati; Chloroflexota; Anaerolineae; Anaerolineales; Anaerolineaceae. The record is from RNAcentral.
CUGCAUGGCUGUCGUCAGCUCGUGUCGUGAGAUGUUCGGUUAAGUCCGCUAACGAGCGCAACCCUUCCUACUUGUCGUGUUACGAUGUGGUCACACGGGACGUGCCGGUUUAAGCCGGAGGAAGGCGGGAUGACGUCAAGUCAGCAUGGCCUUUAUGUCCAGGGCUACACACGUGCUACAAUGGGCGAUACAGAGGGAAGCAAGGCCGCAAGGUAGAGCUAAUCCCUAAAGUCGUCCUCAGUUCGGAUUGCAGGCUGCAACUCGCCUGCAUGAAGUCGGAAUCGCUAGUAAUCGCGGAUCAGCUACGCCGCGGUGAAUACGUUCUCGGGCCUU